UAAUGGCUCACCAAGGCGACGAUCCCUAGCUGGUCUGAGAGGAUGAUCAGCCACACUGGAACUGAGACACGGUCCAGACUCCUACGGGAGGCAGCAGUGGGGAAUAUUGCACAAUGGGCGCAAGCCUGAUGCAGCCAUGCCGCGUGUGUGAAGAAGGCCUUCGGGUUGUAAAGCACUUUCAGUCGUGAGGAAGGUNGUNUAGUUAAUAGCUGCAUUAUUUGACGUUAGCGACAGAAGAAGCACCGGCUAACUCCGUGCCAGCAGCCGCGGUAAUACGGAGGGUGCGAGCGUUAAUCGGAAUUACUGGGCGUAAAGCGCAUGCAGGUGGUUUGUUAAGUCAGAUGUGAAAGCCCGGGGCUCAACCUCGGAUUAGCAUUUGAAACUGGCUGACUAGAGUACUGUAGAGGGGGGUAGAAUUUCAGGUGU
Molecule: ribosomal RNA, 426 nt
Filed under: Vibrio sp. R-725
Lineage: Bacteria; Pseudomonadati; Pseudomonadota; Gammaproteobacteria; Vibrionales; Vibrionaceae
Description: bacterial SSU rRNA
Rfam family: Bacterial small subunit ribosomal RNA
Source: RNAcentral